Molecule: long non-coding RNA, 893 nt
Organism: Heterocephalus glaber (naked mole-rat)
Lineage: Eukaryota; Metazoa; Chordata; Mammalia; Rodentia; Bathyergidae
Source: Ensembl
AAGCCCUUCCCUCUAUUGAUGGGUAAAGAGUCUGAGAAAAGCCCACAGGGAUGUGAGGAAAUUCUCUCAUCACUUCUUUUGCAUGAUUACCUUUGUGGCUCUUCUCUGAACUGUGUUCAGUUCAUUCCACCAAGAUGGCCGCUCUAGGGGAGCCCUGGCCAGAAGGAGAGUGGGGCCCAGGUGUACCGACCAGGUGUGACACAGGAGAGGCAGCACAGUAAAACACAUGGAUCACAGAUCCCAGACAGAAGAGGGCAGCAGUCCUGGCAGGAACAACAAGAAGAGGACAGAUGAAAAGAACAUGGCUGCCGGUACAAGCCCCACGCCAAGACUAUAAUUCACAGCUCACCUUGCACCAGAGGAGGACCUGAAAGGCAAACCUGUGGAGCCAACACAUCCUCUGGACUUGGUUUGCAGGUCUUUUGCAGGGAACCAACACCAUCACUCUUCUCCUAGAAACAAGAGGCUCUAGGCCGGGACAAGGCCUAUCACUUCUGGACAUCUAGACCAGCCACCAAAUGGUCUAGCUGACUCAACCUGGGAAGCUGGGACAAAGAAGGGGAAUCAGGAAAAUCAGAAACUCCUGUGGCCAGGCAAGCUCCAGUGACCAAGGUGUGAUCAUCCCAGCGCUGAAAAGAUCACACCAACCCUGUGUCUCCCACACCAACCGAAGUGUCCCCACUGUGCAAGAAGUUGGGGUGUAAAGACCUCAGAGAGAACUAAGUUGGAGUUCAGAUCCAAACUCCAUUUCUUCUGUAACAUGGCAACUGAGUUUCUGUUCAUUCCUUUGGAGAUUGAGGACAUAACACCUUAUCUCCCUGGGCUGUCGUAUGUUCAUAAUGUUCACAAUAAUGUAUGUGAAAGGCCUGAGACCGUAUCUGUACCUAGCAGAU